AUUGAACGCUGGCGGCAUGCCUUACACAUGCAAGUCGAACGGUAACAGGUCUUCGGAUGCUGACGAGUGGCGAACGGGUGAGUAAUACAUCGGAACGUGCCCGAUCGUGGGGGAUAACGAAGCGAAAGCUUUGCUAAUACCGCAUAAGAUCUACGGAUGAAAGCAGGGGACCGCAAGGCCUUGCGCGAACGGAGCGGCCGAUGGCAGAUUAGGUAGUUGGUGGGAUAAAAGCUUACCAAGCCGACGAUCUGUAGCUGGUCUGAGAGGACGACCAGCAGAACUGGGACUGAGACACGGCCCAGACUCCUACGGGAGGCAGCAGUGGGGAAUUUUGAACAAUGGGCGAAAGCCUGAUCCAGCCAUGCCGCGUGCAGGAUGAAGGCCUUCGGGUUGUAAACUGCUUUUGUACGGAACGAAAAGACUCUUUCUAAUAAAGAGGGUCCAUGACGGUACCGUAAGAAUAAGCACCGGCUAACUACGUGCCAGCCGCCGCCGUAA
Molecule: ribosomal RNA, 498 nt
Filed under: uncultured bacterium
Lineage: Bacteria
Description: partial 16S ribosomal RNA
Rfam family: Bacterial small subunit ribosomal RNA
Source: RNAcentral